This is a long non-coding RNA of Suricata suricatta (meerkat), 655 nucleotides long. RefSeq lists it as uncharacterized. The record is from RefSeq and is a predicted model, not a curated record. The transcript has 3 exons. Lineage: Eukaryota; Metazoa; Chordata; Mammalia; Carnivora; Herpestidae.
CAACCGCUGGGACAUCAAAGGGAAUCUAUAAAUACAUCUGCAGGAGGAAAAAUAUAGACACGUUCCUAGCCCCUCCCGGGCCUGCCUCCCUCCCGCUCCGGAUCUUUCCCGGCUGGGCUCCUAGUCCGGCAGCUGGGCCAAAGCCCCCAACCCCAGGGACCCCUCCUGGAAAAGAGGAGGGAAGCAGCUAAUGGUGCCUUGGUUUCCCCUAAUGGGCUCAAUCAACCUCCCUCGCCCUGCAGGGCGACUGAGAAAACAUCCCUGGGCCGGUCCCUGGGAGGCGAAGGAGUCUGCGGGGCUUCUGUGCUGUGCGGAGCAGGCAGGGCCAAGGUUCCUUGUCUUUGCAUCCGAGAUGCCUCUCAGACCACCUGUGUCUCUCCAUUGCCGUGGCCUCUGCCCUGGUCCAGGCUUCUGACUUGCUCUCCUGGCUUAGCGGUCAUCUCCUCCGCGGUCCCCCCGGGACCCUCUGGGUACAUCUUCUUCAAAGGACAGCCAGAGGACCUCUUUGAAAGUUAAAUCAGACCAUCUCACUUGGUCACUCUAACCUCUCUCCUGGCUCCCUAGUGCCCUUGAAAUAAAAUCCAAACUUCUCUACGCUCCCCGUUUUCUCCCCGCCGUCUCCCGCGCUCCCUCCCUCCCAUGGCCCACCUGCUCA